Pelmatolapia mariae (spotted tilapia) is the source of this 2844-nucleotide long non-coding RNA. RefSeq lists it as uncharacterized. The record is from RefSeq and is a predicted model, not a curated record. The transcript is spliced from 3 exons. Lineage: Eukaryota; Metazoa; Chordata; Actinopteri; Cichliformes; Cichlidae.
AACUGAGAGUCUUUAGUGCACCGUGAACAGCAGUCACCUCAGAGCAAGAGAGUCCUCGUGGCUGUCUGGGUUCUCUCCAGGAGCUCUGGCUUCAUCCCACAGUCCAGAGACAUGAUAUAAGUGAUAAGAUAAUAUAACUAAAAAAAAAAAAACAGUUUAGAACAAGUGUGAGCCUCCUUUACAACUUUAUUCACAUCCUUUAAAUGUAAGAGCUGCUGGCACGUCUGGUGAGGGUGUGCCCACACCUAAUCUAAACCACAGAGCUUUAGUCCCUCUCAUACUUGGUUGAGUAUUGACAUCAGCUGCACCGGUGCAUGCAACGUGAGGGCACUAAUGGACAGGGAGGAAAUAAUACUUGAAUUCAUUUUGAACAAAGACGUCAUGCCAAAUAUUUUUUGAUAGCUGUUUCAAUUAUGAAUACACAGACUUUGUGAUUGCUUUUUUCCUGUCAACAUGUAUUGUUCACAAAUAACCACGGGCCACAACUGAAUCAGAUAGUUCCAUCAUUUCUCUUCAUCUGCAUUUUCGAUCUGAAAGUAGAAACAACUAUAAUGAGGAGAAAUUGAAUUUUUAUAUUUAUGAACGAGGACUGUGUGGAGGAGAGCCGAGUCAGGAAACAGGUUGUUCACCUGACCGACAAGCUGGAGUCAGAACCUGUGAUUUAUCCUCCCUGACUAUUGAGUGAUGUUAUAUGCUGAUGUUAUUUUCCUGUUUUGAGCCAAACCAGAUUUCUCUAUAGGAACUCUGUGUUAAAGGGUCAAUGCACCAAAUUGGGUUUUGAUAACAGUUUAUUUCUCAUGCAAGGAAAGACACAAACUGCUCAGAGGGAUUAGUAAUGAGCACAAGUUAAAUGAGCUCAUUGCACUACGUUGGCUUUAUCAGCCCUGCACAGAACAGAUUGGUCUUAGACUCUUUGAUUCUCUUAAAUAAGUAGAAUCUGAAACUGAAGGUUUUAGAUUAAAUCUGAUUCCUAAAUCAAGAAGUAAAUCUUAAAGAACAACCUAGGUUUGUAAUUUGGAACAAAGUUGCGUUAACUAAAACUAUCUUGAACUGUGGAAGGUUAAGUGUGACCUUCUUAGCUGCAAACCUUGAACUGGUUUAGUAGCUUUUAUAUCUGUCUUACUGUGACAUAAGUGCUGAAAAGGGAUUUAUCUCUCUCCCUCUGUCUAUCUCUCAGUCCGUCUCUCUAAAAUAUUCAUUUUACUUUAUUUUCUCUAUAUAUGAUGUAGGUUUGAAUUUUCCCUGCUAAAUUGUGACGGUCUGGGAGUCUCCUACGUUCGACCUGCCUCGUGCCAAUUUAUGGGCGUCAUCAGGCCGGAAGGUGUUUCCCGUGUUGAAGCCGCCACACAUGUCUUCCGUCUAGAUUGGCCGCUACUUAAGUGUUUGACUGAGCUUCAGUCAACGCUGGAUCAUUGAGUUACCAAGAACUUGGAGAGGAGUGUGUCACAGGAGCGAAGUGUUUGUAAAUGUCGAGUGUUGGAGUUGUUUUCCUGUCACACCUGGACCACCAGCACAGUCCUGCAGGAUGGGAAAGUCCUGCAUUUGGGCCCCGUUCUCGCCACGCACCUUAACAUAAAUAAUAAACACUUUGAUUGAGAAACUGCAUUUUGUGUUUACUUUUGUAGGGUUGCCUACCGCUGCAGGAGGCUGCAUCAUGAAACCAACAUGAUGAACUGCCAGUGGGAGAAGCACUACCCUAUAGACCUCUGUAAUCCAAGUAAAAGUAGCAGUACAGCUAUAUACAAGUUAAUACGAAGGCACAGAAUCAACAAGAGCUAUGAACUAAUCUUAGAGCCGGGGCUACACUGGUGCGAGUCAUACAAGGAUCCAGCGAUGAGUAGCUUCCUUUCCUCAACUUAAGUAGUGGCAGGGAUAAUGAGGCACAGGUGUUCACUCUCCAUAGGUGCGUGGGGCGAGGGCAGGAACCACCAUGACUUCCGUCCUGGCGAGACAGAGAGCGCGAGAGAGAAAAAUAAUGACGCUGCUGAUCAUCUUCAUGCUGGUCCACCGGGCCGUGACAUUCAGUAACAUGAAUAUGGAAGUGUAAAGAGUGUGCAGCACAAGAGACUGCAAGAUCUCAGUUAUUGAAGCACUACAGGUUAAACCAUGGUCACUUUGGCCGCAGACACGCUUAUCCAUGCACAUAUUUAAAUUGUCCAUGUAGUCACCAAUGUAGAUCACAUGUUGAUCAGACAUUGCAGAGAUCAGUAGAUUCCUGGUGUGAUUGAAGACAAGCUUUUCAUUGAUGAUUUAAAAAGAGGGUGAUGAGCUAUUAUUAUUAUUAUUAUUACUACUACUACUACUACAUUGUCUUGAUUAAUCCAUUAAAAAACAAACAAAAAUAAAAACAUUUGCAAAUGGUUCAAAUCUUUCAUAAAUAUUCACGCAGAGCUGGAAAUUGUAAUUUUUAAAUUUGAUUUGUGCAGCUAAUGAAAGUCUUCUGAAGGUAAGAAGGAGAUGUGCAACAAAAAAAUUACAAAGUUUAUCUUUUUUGUUUUUUUUCCUAACAAACGUCUGUUCAUCAAUAUAUUUUUGUAUUCAGUUCAUUCUAUUAUUAUUGUGUGAAUGCUGCUGUUGCUCAAUUCCUCGUUAUUAUUCUGAAUUCUUUGUGGGAUUUUUGGGUGCUGUGACUUUUGGUGUUUGUUCCUGUUUUUCUUUCUUUAAUAACCUUUUCUCACAAGAUGUUUUACAAAGUAAAUACAUUUGGAGAAAUCUCCCUGACUGUAGUGGCGAUUCCUUUUGUUUGAACAACCAAACAUCCAAGAAUUAAAAUUCCGCAAGCCACUGCUGCACUGAGAUAAGAUCUUGUACGCAGGCAAAAGAAGUCGACUGUCCAAACUUGAA